AUUGAACGCUGGCGGCAGGCCUAACACAUGCAAGUCGAGCGGAUGAAGGGAGCUUGCUCCUGGAUUCAGCGGCGGACGGGUGAGUAAUGCCUAGGAAUCUGCCUGGUAGUGGGGGAUAACGUCCGGAAACGGGCGCUAAUACCGCAUACGUCCUGAGGGAGAAAGUGGGGGUUCUUCGGACCUCACGCUAUCAGAUGAGCCUAGGUCGGAUUAGCUAGUUGGUGGGGUAAAGGCCUACCAAGGCGACGAUCCGUAACUGGUCUGAGAGGAUGAUCAGUCACACUGGAACUGAGACACGGUCCAGACUCCUACGGGAGGCAGCAGUGGGGAAUAUUGGACAAUGGGCGAAAGCCUGAUCCAGCCAUGCCGCGUGUGUGAAGAGGGUCUUCGGAUUGUAAAGCACUUUAAGUUGGGAGGAAGGGCAGUAAGUUAAUACCUUGCUGUUUUGACGUUACCAACAGAAUAAGCACCGGCUAACUUCGUG
Molecule: ribosomal RNA, 484 nt
Filed under: uncultured bacterium
Lineage: Bacteria
Description: partial 16S ribosomal RNA
Rfam family: Bacterial small subunit ribosomal RNA
Source: RNAcentral